This 253-nucleotide ribosomal RNA is filed under the name uncultured bacterium. Its description in RNAcentral is "partial 16S ribosomal RNA". It matches the Rfam family "Bacterial small subunit ribosomal RNA", at positions 524 to 776 of the family's 1533-position model. The record is from RNAcentral.
UACGGGGGGGGCAAGCGUUGUUCGGAAUUACUGGGCGUAAAGGGCUCGUAGGCGGCCAACUAAGUCAUACGUGAAAUCCCUCGGCUUAACCGGGGAACUGCGUCUGAUACUGGAUGGCUUGAGUUCGGGAGAGGGAUGCGGAAUUCCAGGUGUAGCGGUGAAAUGCGUAGAUAUCUGGAGGAACACCGGUGGCGAAGGCGGCAUCCUGGACCGAUACUGACGCUGAGACGCGAAAGCGUGGGGAGCGAUCCGG